GUUUCCAUAGUGCAGUGGUUAUCACAUUCACCUAACACGUGAAAGGUCCCUGGUUUGAAACUGGGUGGUAACA
Pterocles gutturalis (yellow-throated sandgrouse) is the source of this 73-nucleotide non-coding RNA. NCBI's taxonomy places the organism in Eukaryota, Metazoa, Chordata, Aves, Pterocliformes, Pteroclidae. The record is from the annotation of a RefSeq genome assembly.